GACGAACGCUGGCGGCGUGCCUAAUACAUGCAAGUAGAACGCACAGUUUAUACCGUAGCUUGCUCCACCAUAGACUGUGAGUUGCGAACGGGUGAGUAACGCGUAGGUAACCUGCCUGGUAGCGGGGGAUAACUAUUGGAAACGAUAGCUAAUACCGCAUAAUAUUGAUUAUUGCAUGAUAAUUGAUUGAAAGAUGCUAUUGCAUCACUACCAGAUGGACCUGCGUUGUAUUAGCUAGUAGGUGAGGUAACGGCUCACCUAGGCGACGAUACAUAGCCGACCUGAGAGGGUGAUCGGCCACACUGGGACUGAGACACGGCCCAGACUCCUACGGGAGGCAGCAGUAGGGAAUCUUCGGCAAUGGACGAAAGUCUGACCGAGCAACGCCGCGUGAGUGAAGAAGGUUUUCGGAUCGUAAAGCUCUGUUGUAAGGGAAGAACGGGUGUGAGAGUGGAAAGUUCACACUGUGACGGUAUCUUACCAGAAAGGGACGGCUAACUACGUG
Molecule: ribosomal RNA, 505 nt
Filed under: uncultured bacterium
Lineage: Bacteria
Description: partial 16S ribosomal RNA
Rfam family: Bacterial small subunit ribosomal RNA
Source: RNAcentral